Molecule: ribosomal RNA, 125 nt
Filed under: Conidiobolus sp.
Lineage: Eukaryota; Fungi; Entomophthoromycota; Entomophthoromycetes; Entomophthorales; Conidiobolaceae
Description: partial small subunit ribosomal RNA
Rfam family: Eukaryotic small subunit ribosomal RNA
Source: RNAcentral
CCUUUGUACACACCGCCCGUCGCUACUACCGAUUGAAUGGUUUAGUGAGGCCUCUGGAUUCGAAACUUGAAGUUGGCAACGAUUUUAAGUUUUGGAGAAAUUGGUCAAACUUGGUCAUUUAGAGG